GUUCCUUUAGCGCAAUGGGUAGUUCAUUGGACAUUUAAUCCAAAGAUCGUGGGUUUCUAUCCCACCUGGAAUG
Trichonephila clavata is the source of this 73-nucleotide non-coding RNA. Lineage: Eukaryota; Metazoa; Arthropoda; Arachnida; Araneae; Nephilidae. The record is from the annotation of a GenBank genome assembly.